RNAcentral lists this ribosomal RNA (454 nucleotides) under uncultured bacterium. Its description in RNAcentral is "bacterial SSU rRNA". It matches the Rfam family "Bacterial small subunit ribosomal RNA", at positions 340 to 786 of the family's 1533-position model. The record is from RNAcentral.
UACGGGAGGCAGCAGUGGGGAAUAUUGCACAAUGGGCGAAAGCCUGAUGCAGCUAUGCCGCGUGUAUGAAGAAGGCCUUAGGGUUGUAAAGUACUUUCAUCGGGGAGGAAAAAACAAAACUAAUAAUUUUAUUUCUUGACGUUACCCGAAAAAGAAGCACCGGCUAACUCCGUGCCAGCAGCCGCGGUAAUACGGAGGGUGCGAGCGUUAAUCGGAAUUACUGGGCGUAAAGGGCACGCAGGCGGUUAAUUAAGUUGGAUGUGAAAUCCCCGGGCUUAACCUGGGAAUGGCAUUCAAGACUGGUUAGCUAGAGUCUUGUAGAGGGGGUAGAAUUCCAUGUGUAGCGGUGAAAUGCGUAGAGAUGUGGAGGAAUACCGGUGGCGAAGGCGGCCCCUGGGACAAAGGACUGACGCUCAUGUGCGAAAGCGUGGGGAGCAAACAGGGAUUAGAUACC